UGGUUGAGCCUCAUGGCUCUACUACUGGAAGACGUGGGCGUAAGACUCCUCGAGAGUCAGAUACUCUCGAGGAGCGAGAAAGGAAGCGGCUGCGAGAUAUCUUUGCAGGACCAUCUGACGAAGAUUCUUUUGAGGGGUUUACUGAGAGAAUGGAGGAAGAGAUGGUUAGCUCGGAAGAGGAUGACAUGGAAUGGACUCGUGUAAGGGAGGAUUUGGGUGCCACUGGCAAUGAUAGUAUGGAAGGCGAUUGGGGACCUUCAGGAUUAGACACGUGGACAAGCUGGAGGGAUGGGACGGGAUCCACAGCUGAGGAUGCUGUGGGGCGUAGUCAAAGGUGUUCCAGUUCUGAUGAGGAAAGUGAUGAGGAAACGCCCGGGCUAAGGAGAACAGCUGAUAGCGAUGAGGACUUGUAACUGGCAUAAAAUGGGGUUUGGGAGCAAUAGCAAAUUGCGUUGGGCAAGGUAAUCUGGACGAACGUUUGGGAUCUGUGUGGGAAGUUUUCCUGAAGACGGGUGUGAUUCGUUUGCUGACUACCUUUGACCUUCCGUCGUCUUCUUGACGGACGCCAUCUGCUUACUCUGGACUUACGGACUGACUGACUACGGCCUCGGAUUCUCCUACCUGUGUCUAUCGUUGGAACUGGUGAACUACAAACGUCUGCAUCUGCCUUACGACCUUCGGAACGGAUUGGGACUUCGCUGACUGCUUCUGCCCUCGUCUGCUGUGUUUGUAUCGGGAAAUUGCCUGCUGUGUGGAGGAGUAACCUCUAAGUUACUCAAACAUAGCUCUUGGCAGCAGAGAAGCAUCUGCUGCCAAUUAGUUGCAUUUCCUUUGAACUUUUUGUUCACCAGCUUCUGUUUGUUUAUUCCCAGGCUGAAGCAAGCUGUUUUGAUUUAACCCGGAUUAAACUCCGGUUUAAUCCGGUUUAUCUUUUGAACGUUUUUCUUGUCUCUUUUUACUUUUAAGGCCAGUGUUUGCCUAGCCCUUGUCUUUUACGGGCAUUUUUGGUUCUGUAACUCCAAUAAACUUUGUUAUCUUUUA
Anolis carolinensis (green anole) is the source of this 1041-nucleotide long non-coding RNA. RefSeq lists it as uncharacterized. The record is from RefSeq and is a predicted model, not a curated record. The transcript is spliced from 2 exons. Lineage: Eukaryota; Metazoa; Chordata; Lepidosauria; Squamata; Anolidae.